RNAcentral lists this ribosomal RNA (253 nucleotides) under uncultured bacterium. RNAcentral's name for it is "partial 16S ribosomal RNA". It matches the Rfam family "Bacterial small subunit ribosomal RNA", at positions 524 to 776 of the family's 1533-position model. The record is from RNAcentral.
UACGUAUUGUGCAAGCGUUUUCCGGAAUCAUUGGGCGUAAAGAGCGUGUAGGCGGUCCGGUCAGUCGGUUGUGAAAGUCAAGGGCUCAACCCUUGAAUGCCGGCCGAUACUGCCGGGCUAGAGUCCGGAAGAGGUGAGUGGAAUUCCUGGUGUAGCGGUGAAAUGCGCAGAUAUCAGGAGGAACACCGAUGGCGAAGGCAGCUAAAUGGGACGGUACUGACGCUGAGACGCGAAAGCGUGGGGAGCAAACGGG